UCAGAGGGAGGUAGANUUCCACGUGUAGCAGUGAAAUGCGUAGAGAUGUGGAGGAAUACCGAUGGCGAAGGCAGCNUCCUGGGAUAACACUGACGUUCAUGCCCGAAAGCGUGGGUAGCAAACAGGAUUAGAUACCNUGGUAGUCCACGCCCUAAACGAUGUCGAUUAGCUGUUGGGCAGCUUGACUGCUUAGUAGCGAAGCUAACGCGUGAAAUCGACCGCCUGGGGAGUACGGUCGCAAGAUUAAAACUCAAAGGAAUUGACGGGGACCCGCACAAGCGGUGGAUGAUGUGGAUUAAUUCGAUGCAACGCGAAGAACCUUACCUGGUCUUGACAUGUACGGAACCCUCCAGAGACGGAGGGGUGCCUUCGGGAGCCGUAACACAGGUGCUGCAAGGCUGUCGUCAGCUCGUGUCGUGAGAUGUUGGGUUAAGUCCCGCAACGAGCGCAACCCUUGUCAUUAGUUGCCAUCAUUAAGUUGGGCACUCUAAUGAGACUGCCGGUGACAAGCCGGAGGAAGGUGGGGAUGACGUCAAGUCCUCAUGGCCCUUAUGACCAGGGCUUCACACGUCAUACAAUGGUCGGUACAGAGGGUAGCCAAGCCGCGAGGUGGAGCCAAUCUCACAAAACCGAUCGUAGUCCGGAUUGCACUCUGCAACUCGAGUGCAUGAAGUCGGAAUCGCUAGUAAUCGCAGGUCAGCAUACUGCGGUGAAUACGUUCCCGGGUCUUGUACACACCGCCCGU
This 745-nucleotide ribosomal RNA is filed under the name uncultured bacterium. Its description in RNAcentral is "bacterial SSU rRNA". It matches the Rfam family "Bacterial small subunit ribosomal RNA", at positions 651 to 1397 of the family's 1533-position model. The record is from RNAcentral.